GCUGAACUCCGGCCACUUGAGCUGCUCUUACACUGUAUACCUGUGUCUGAGUACUCAGUUCAUCCACCAGUCAGGGUCUGUGGGACAGACUAGGCAGGUGGUGCCCCGUGUGAGGAGCAGCGCAGUGGAUCAUGAUGGAACCCUCGAAAAUGAACGUGAAGUGACUGCGCAUGCAAUGCAUCAAACCAUACCAUGGCAUGGCUGGGACCCAAUGCAGUACUGGAAAUGAAGAAUGUGAGCCUGUAGGACCCGCAGCCCCGGACAAUGCAGCUUCCUCGGACAACACAGGUCCCGGAUGGGGAAUGUGAAAUAGACAACUGGGGGAUGCUAAAUAAGACAACUCAGGAGGCUAAGUGAAUCACAGACACCAUUCACUCCAGAUAAUCUGUUCCUUGCUAUGCUGUCUGUUGUACAUUGCAACUCUUGUAAGGAUGCAAAGCUGGAACACAAGCUGUAACCGCUGCACCUGUCAAACCUGUCGCUGCACACAUCUGUACGCUUCAAUCAACUAAACCUGAUGCAAAAAACAGAAAAGGGAGAGAUGUAGGGGAUCACUCAGAGUGGUGGGAAAAACUAUAGGGAAAGGACACAAACCUUCUGAAAGGUUGGAAGGGUCUGCAGAGCCCCUGGGGAGAAUAGCUGGAAGCAGCUGUUCUAUAACCCUGAGACAGAGGGCAAGGAGUAGAUACAAGGGAGUGUGGGGGGAAUUGAUCUUAAACAAUCUUGUUAUGUUGACCAGGAACUGACCUUUGAUCAUCCCUGCAUGUGAAGUUCCCUGAAAGGGGAACAAUAAAUGUUAAUUACCUUCAGGUUGUGUUGGCUCCAGGUUUUCAGCAUUGCACCUGCCCUGAAUAAAAGCAAGCAGCUCCAGCUUCCCAGGGCUGCGCUCUGGCCACUUGCACCAGGCAGUCCUCUGGCUGCUCUUACAUUGCAUACCUAUGUCUGAGUACUCAUUUCAUCUGUCAGCCGGGGUCUGCAGGACAGACCUGGCACAUUGUAGCCCUAGCACCCCAUGAAUCGAAGGGAUUGCACUUUUCCAGAAACCAAGAACUGAUUGGAUGGGGGCUGAUCAAAGUGGUAUUAGAACCUUACUCCCUGCCUCUUAAAUAAUGCUCUACCCCUCCUAGCCCCUAACUCCUUGGUCCUGGCCUUUAAUAACAUGUGAGAAACUGAAGAAGGUCCCCAAAAAGUAAUGCGAAGGACACAGAGGUCAGAAGGGGACAGAAGAAGAAAGGGGAGGCUGAGGGGAGGCCAGAAGCCCCGUGACAGAUGUGGAGCAAGACAUUGACCUGUUGAUCCCACCGCCUCAGAGGCCAGCAGGAAGAAAUGAGCCGCACUGAGGAAAGUCCACACAGAAAGUGGUUCCCAAGGGAAGGUGAGGGAUUCCAUCUGGGGGAACAGAAAUUAGAAUCAGCAACCAAACAUGAGUCCAGGUUCUGGGCUCAGACCCUCGUGGACUGCUAUUGAGGCACAAAUGACAAAUCUAAACUGCUAUGGAAUGGCAUGAAUGUGGCGAUUUGAAGUGUUCUGAAAUCUAGGAAAGGGAAGUGGGCAAGCCCCAUGGCAGGGCACUCAGAAUCUCCAGGAGGCUCUUCUCAGAGAACAAACACCCCACAUGAAAACCUAUUUGAGAAUUACCCACCUA
RNAcentral lists this long non-coding RNA (1645 nucleotides) under Homo sapiens (human). RNAcentral describes it as "HSALNT0297541". The record is from RNAcentral. Lineage: Eukaryota; Metazoa; Chordata; Mammalia; Primates; Hominidae.